UACGUAGGGUGCAAGCGUUGUCCGGAAUUAUUGGGCGUAAAGAGCUCGUAGGCGGUCUGUCGCGUCUGCUGUGAAAACUCGGGGCUUAACCCCGGGCCUGCAGUGGGUACGGGCAGACUAGGGUGCGGUAGGGGAGACUGGAAUUCCUGGUGUAGCGGUGAAAUGCGCAGAUAUCAGGAGGAACACCGGUGGCGAAGGCGGGUCUCUGGGCCGUAACUGACGCUGAGGAACGAAAGCUAGGGGAGCAAACAGG
Molecule: ribosomal RNA, 253 nt
Filed under: uncultured bacterium
Lineage: Bacteria
Description: partial 16S ribosomal RNA
Rfam family: Bacterial small subunit ribosomal RNA
Source: RNAcentral